UAAAUACUCCCUAGUGACCGAUAGUGAACCAGUACCGUGAGGGAAAGGUGAAAAGCACCCCGGAAGGGGAGUGAAACAGUUCCUGAAACCGUGUGCCUACAAGUAGUUAGAGCCCGUUAAUGGGUGAUAGCGUGCCUUUUGUAGAAUGAACCGGCGAGUUACGAUUUGUUGCAAGGUUAAGCGGAAAAAGCGGAGCCGUAGCGAAAGCGAGUCUGAAUAGGGCGCAUAAGUAACAGGUCGUAGACCCGAAACCAGGUGAUCUACCCAUGUCCAGGAUGAAGGUAAGGUAAUACUUACUGGAGGUCCGAACCCACGCACGUUGAAAAGUGCGGGGAUGAGGUGUGGGUAGCGGAGAAAUUCCAAUCGAACUUGGAGAUAGCUGGUUCUCUCCGAAAUAGCUUUAGGGCUAGCCUCGAGGUAAAGAGUCAUGGAGGUAGAGCACUGUUUGGACUAGGGGCCCUUCUCGGGUUACCGAAUUCAGAUAAACUCCGAAUGCCAUGUACUUAUACUCGGGAGUCAGACUGCGAGUGAUAAGAUCCGUAGUCGAAAGGGAAACAGCCCAGACCACCAGUUAAGGUCCCCAAAUAUAUGUUAAGUGGAAAAGGAUGUGGGGUUGCUUAGACAACCAGGAUGUUGGCUUAGAAGCAGCCACCAUUGAAAGAGUGCGUAAUAGCUCACUGGUCGAGUGACCCCGCGCCGAAAAUGUACCGGGGCUAAACAUAUUACCGAAACUGUGGAUGAACCUCUUUAGAGGUUCGUGGUAGGAGAGCGUUCUAAGGGCGGUGAAGUCAGACCGGAAGGACUGGUGGAGCGCUUAGAAGUGAGAAUGCCGGUAUGAGUAGCGAAAGAAGGGUGAGAAUCCCUUCCACCGAAUAUCUAAGGUUUCCUGAGGAAGGCUCGUCCGCUCAGGGUUAGUCGGGACCUAAGCCGAGGCCGAUAGGCGUAGGCGAUGGACAACAGGUAGAGAUUCCUGUACCAGUGCUAAUUGUUUAACCGAUGGGGUGACACAGAAGGAUAGGGAAUCGCACGAAUGGAAAUGUGCGUCCAAGCAGUGAGUGUGAGAAGUAGGCAAAUCCGCUUCUCGCGAAGCAUGAGCUGUGAUGGGGAAGGAAAUUAAGUACGGAAGUUCCUGAUUUCACGCUGUCAAGAAAAGCCUCUAGGAAGAGUAGUACUGCCCGUACCGCAAACCGACACAGGUAGAUGAGGAGAGAAUCCUAAGGUGAGCGAGAGAACUCUCGUUAAGGAACUCGGCAAAAUGACCCCGUAACUUCGGGAGAAGGGGUGCUCUAUUAGGGUGCAAGCCCGAGAGAGCCGCAGUGAAUAGGCCCAGGCGACUGUUUAGCAAAAACACAGGUCUCUGCAAAACCGUAAGGUGACGUAUAGGGGCUGACGCCUGCCCGGUGCUGGAAGGUUAAGAGGAGUGCUUAGCUUCGGCGAAGGUACGAAUUGAAGCCCCAGUAAACGGCGGCCGUAACUAUAACGGUCCUAAGGUAGCGAAAUUCCUUGUCGGGUAAGUUCCGACCCGCACGAAAGGCGCAACGAUCUGGGCACUGUCUCAACGAGAGACUCGGUGAAAUUAUAGUACCUGUGAAGAUGCAGGUUACCCGCGACAGGACGGAAAGACCCCGUGGAGCUUUACUGCAACCUGAUAUGGAAUGUUUGUACCGCUUGUACAGGAUAGGUAGGAGCCGAAGAGACGUGUGCGCUAGCAUACGAGGAGGCAAUGGUGGGAUACUACCCUGGCUGUAUGACCAUUCUAACCCGCCACGCUUAGCGCGUGGGGAGACAGUGUCAGGUGGGCAGUUUGACUGGGGCGGUCGCCUCCUAAAGAGUAACGGAGGCGCCCAAAGGUUCCCUCAGAAUGGAUGGAAAUCAUUCGCAGAGUGUAAAGGCACAAGGGAGCUUGACUGCGAGACUGACAAGUCGAGCAGGGACGAAAGUCGGGCUUAGUGAUCCGGUGGUUCCGCAUGGAAGGGCCAUCGCUCAACGGAUAAAAGCUACCCCGGGGAUAACAGGCUUAUCUCCCCCAAGAGUCCACAUCGACGGGGAGGUUUGGCACCUCGAUGUCGGCUCGUCGCAUCCUGGGGCUGUAGUCGGUCCCAAGGGUUGGGCUGUUCGCCCAUUAAAGCGGCACGCGAGCUGGGUUCAGAACGUCGUGAGACAGUUCGGUCCCUAUCCGUCGCGGGCGCAGGAAAUUUGAGAGGAGCUGUCCUUAGUACGAGAGGACCGGGAUGGACACACCGCUGGUGUACCAGUUGUUCCGCCAGGAGCAUCGCUGGGUAGCUAUGUGUGGCAGGGAUAAACGCUGAAAGCAUCUAAGCGUGAAGCCCCCCUCAAGAUGAGAUUUCCCAUUUCUUCGGAAAGUAAGAUCCCUGAAAGAUGAUCAGGUAGAUAGGUUUGGAGUGGAAGUGUAGCGAUACAUGGAGCGGACAAAUACUAAUCGAUCGAGGACUUAACCAA
RNAcentral lists this ribosomal RNA (2460 nucleotides) under Listeria monocytogenes. Its description in RNAcentral is "partial 23S ribosomal RNA". It matches the Rfam family "Bacterial large subunit ribosomal RNA", at positions 467 to 2925 of the family's 2925-position model. The record is from RNAcentral. Lineage: Bacteria; Bacillati; Bacillota; Bacilli; Caryophanales; Listeriaceae.